Molecule: ribosomal RNA, 253 nt
Filed under: uncultured bacterium
Lineage: Bacteria
Description: partial 16S ribosomal RNA
Rfam family: Bacterial small subunit ribosomal RNA
Source: RNAcentral
UACAGAGGUCCCAAGCGUUGUUCGGAUUCACUGGGCGUAAAGGGCGCGUAGGCGGGCUAUCAAGUCCGGGGUGAAAUCCUCCAGCUCAACUGGAGAACGGCCUCGGAUACUGAUGGUCUCGAGGGGGAUAGGGGCACGCGGAACUGUGGGUGGAGCGGUGAAAUGCGUUGAUAUCCAUAGGAACUCCGGUGGCGAAAGCGGCGUGCUGGAUCCCUUCUGACGCUGAGGCGCGAAAGCCAGGGGAGCAAACGGG